Molecule: unclassified non-coding RNA, 208 nt
Filed under: Hevea brasiliensis (rubber tree)
Lineage: Eukaryota; Viridiplantae; Streptophyta; Magnoliopsida; Malpighiales; Euphorbiaceae
Source: RNAcentral
CUGCGUAAUCAGAAUGCCAUUUAACUUCAUUGACGAAGUUUUAUGUUCAACUCCUUUAUAUGAUCUCUUUAGUUGAAUUGUAUAUUGAACUCAAUAAUGUUUGUUGUUGCAUAAUAACACUAGCACUUUCUUUAAUAUUUAAGAACACUUAACAAGUGCCCGAAAAUGAAAUACAAAUUAUUAGUUUUAUACAAUAAAGAGUAUAUUU